CAGUCGAGCGAACAUCUUGCGGAAGCCUUCGGGUGGAAGCAAGAUUGACUGAGCGGCGGACGGGUGAGUAACGCGUGGGUGACCUGCCUCAUACAGGGGGAUAACAGUUAGAAAUGACUACUAAUACCGCAUAAGCGCACAGUGCUGCAUGGCACAGUGUGAAAAACCCCGGUGGUAUGAGAUGGACCCGCGUCUGAUUAGGUAGUUGGUGGGGUAACGGCCCACCAAGCCGACGAUCAGUAGCCGACCUGAGAGGGUGACCGGCCACAUUGGGACUGAGACACGGCCCAAACUCCUACGGGAGGCAGCAGUGGGGAAUAUUGGACAAUGGGGGAAACCCUGAUCCAGCGACGCCGCGUGACUGAAGAAGUAUUUCGGUAUGUAAAGGUCUAUCAGCAGGGAAGAAAAUGACGGUACCUGACUAAGAAGCCCCGGCUAACUACGUGCCAGCAGCCGCGGUAAUACGUAGGGGGCAAGCGUUAUCCGGAUUUACUGGGUGUAAAGGGAGCGUAGACGGCGAUGCAAGUCUGGAGUGAAAGCCCGGGGCUCAACCCCGGGACUGCUUUGGAAACUGUGUUGCUAGAGUGCAGGAGAGGUAAGUGGAAUUCCUAGUGUAGCGGUGAAAUGCGUAGAUAUUAGGAGGAACACCAGUGGCGAAGGCGGCUUACUGGACUGUAACUGACGUUGAGGCUCGAAAGCGUGGGGAGCAAACAGGAUUAGAUACCCUGGUAGUCCGCGCCGUAAACGAUGAAUACUAGGUGUUGGGGAGCAAAGCUCUUCGGUGCCGUCGCAAACGCAGUAAGUAUUCCACCUGGGGAGUACGUUCGCAAGAAUGAAACUCAAAGGAAUUGACGGGGACCCGCACAAGCGGUGGAGCAUGUGGUUUAAUUCGAAGCAACGCGAAGAACCUUACCAAGUCUUGACAUCGGAAUGACCGGUCCGUAACGGGGCCUUCCCUUCGGGGCAUUCCAGACAGGUGGUGCAUGGUUGUCGUCAGCUCGUGUCGUGAGAUGUUGGGUUAAGUCCCGCAACGAGCGCAACCCUUAUCCUUAGUAGCCAGCAGGUAGAGCUGGGCACUCUGGGGAGACUGCCAGGGAUAACCUGGAGGAAGGUGGGGAUGACGUCAAAUCAUCAUGCCCCUUAUGAUUUGGGCUACACACGUGCUACAAUGGCGUAAACAAAGGGAAGCGAAGCCGUGAGGUGAAGCAAAUCCCAAAAAUAACGUCUCAGUUCGGAUUGUGGUCUGCAACUCGACUACAUGAAGCUGGAAUCGC
Molecule: ribosomal RNA, 1274 nt
Filed under: uncultured bacterium
Lineage: Bacteria
Description: bacterial SSU rRNA
Rfam family: Bacterial small subunit ribosomal RNA
Source: RNAcentral